RNAcentral lists this ribosomal RNA (1543 nucleotides) under Staphylococcus devriesei. RNAcentral describes it as "bacterial SSU rRNA". It matches the Rfam family "Bacterial small subunit ribosomal RNA". Lineage: Bacteria; Bacillati; Bacillota; Bacilli; Caryophanales; Staphylococcaceae. The record is from RNAcentral.
AGUUUGAUCCUGGCUCAGGAUGAACGCUGGCGGCGUGCCUAAUACAUGCAAGUCGAGCGAACAGAUAAGGAGCUUGCUCCUUUGACGUUAGCGGCGGACGGGUGAGUAACACGUGGGUAACCUACCUAUAAGACUGGGAUAACUUCGGGAAACCGGAGCUAAUACCGGAUAAUAUUUCGAACCGCAUGGUUCGAUAGUGAAAGAUGGUUUUGCUAUCACUUAUAGAUGGACCCGCGCCGUAUUAGCUAGUUGGUAAGGUAACGGCUUACCAAGGCAACGAUACGUAGCCGACCUGAGAGGGUGAUCGGCCACACUGGAACUGAGACACGGUCCAGACUCCUACGGGAGGCAGCAGUAGGGAAUCUUCCGCAAUGGGCGAAAGCCUGACGGAGCAACGCCGCGUGAGUGAUGAAGGUCUUCGGAUCGUAAAACUCUGUUAUUAGGGAAGAACAUACGUGUAAGUAACUAUGCACGUCUUGACGGUACCUAAUCAGAAAGCCACGGCUAACUACGUGCCAGCAGCCGCGGUAAUACGUAGGUGGCAAGCGUUAUCCGGAAUUAUUGGGCGUAAAGCGCGCGUAGGCGGUUUUUUAAGUCUGAUGUGAAAGCCCACGGCUCAACCGUGGAGGGUCAUUGGAAACUGGAAAACUUGAGUGCAGAAGAGGAAAGUGGAAUUCCAUGUGUAGCGGUGAAAUGCGCAGAGAUAUGGAGGAACACCAGUGGCGAAGGCGACUUUCUGGUCUGUAACUGACGCUGAUGUGCGAAAGCGUGGGGAUCAAACAGGAUUAGAUACCCUGGUAGUCCACGCCGUAAACGAUGAGUGCUAAGUGUUAGGGGGUUUCCGCCCCUUAGUGCUGCAGCUAACGCAUUAAGCACUCCGCCUGGGGAGUACGACCGCAAGGUUGAAACUCAAAGGAAUUGACGGGGACCCGCACAAGCGGUGGAGCAUGUGGUUUAAUUCGAAGCAACGCGAAGAACCUUACCAAAUCUUGACAUCCUUUGAUCGCUCUAGAGAUAGAGUUUUCCCCUUCGGGGGACAAAGUGACAGGUGGUGCAUGGUUGUCGUCAGCUCGUGUCGUGAGAUGUUGGGUUAAGUCCCGCAACGAGCGCAACCCUUAAACUUAGUUGCCAGCAUUCAGUUGGGCACUCUAAGUUGACUGCCGGUGACAAACCGGAGGAAGGUGGGGAUGACGUCAAAUCAUCAUGCCCCUUAUGAUUUGGGCUACACACGUGCUACAAUGGACAAUACAAAGGGCAGCGAAACCGCGAGGUCAAGCAAAUCCCAUAAAGUUGUUCUCAGUUCGGAUUGUAGUCUGCAACUCGACUACAUGAAGCUGGAAUCGCUAGUAAUCGUAGAUCAGCAUGCUACGGUGAAUACGUUCCCGGGUCUUGUACACACCGCCCGUCACACCACGAGAGUUUGUAACACCCGAAGCCGGUGGAGUAACCAUUUUGGAGCUAGCCGUCGAAGGUGGGACAAAUGAUUGGGGUGAAGUCGUAACAAGGUAGCCGUAUCGGAAGGUGCGGCUGGAUCACCUCCUUA